GACGAACCGUACGAACGUUAUUCGGAAUCACUGGGCUUAAAGGGUGCGUAGGCGGCUUUGCAAGUCGGGUGUGAAAGCCCUCGGCUCAACCGAGGAAUUGCGCCCGAAACUGCCGAGCUUGAGGGACACAGAGGUAAGCGGAACUUAGGGUGGAGCGGUGAAAUGCGUUGAUAUCCUAAGGAACACCAGGAGCGAAAGCGGCUUACUGGGUGUCUACUGACGCUGAGGCACGAAAGCCAGGGGAGCGAAGAGGAUUAGAUACCCUCGUAGUCCUGGCCGUAAACGAUGAGCACUGGUUUGGAGGCCCCCCCAUAGGCUUCCAGACGUAGCGAAAGUGUUAAGUGCUCCGCCUGGGGAGUAUGGUCGCAAGGCUGAA
Molecule: ribosomal RNA, 376 nt
Filed under: uncultured bacterium
Lineage: Bacteria
Description: bacterial SSU rRNA
Rfam family: Bacterial small subunit ribosomal RNA
Source: RNAcentral